RNAcentral lists this long non-coding RNA (665 nucleotides) under Olea europaea subsp. europaea. The record is from RNAcentral. Lineage: Eukaryota; Viridiplantae; Streptophyta; Magnoliopsida; Lamiales; Oleaceae.
CCCCAACUCCCAUCCACACCACUAGAACCCAAACACGCUCCAACAACAUCAAACAUGAAAUGAUGGCCCAGAAGUACUUACGAAGCUGAGGUAAUUGCAGCCCAUACCCUACAAUCACAACAAAAUACUCAACAAGAAUACUAUCCACAUCAAACUUCAAUCGAGCCACCAAAAUUUGUUCCGGUGAAACUAAAUAGAAGUUAAUGAGGGUGAUAAUGAAGGAAACCCUAGAGGAGUGCCCACUGGGGAAAGACCAGUGGUCAACAGCGAAAGAGAAGAACAUGUUCUCGCAAUAAAUUGGGCGAGGGUGUUGGAUGAGAUGUUUGAGAAGGCCAAUGAAUAAAAGUGAGAGAAUGAUGGGGAAAAAGAGAGAGCCAUUGUUGGAGAACUUGAGGAAUUUAAUGACCGAGAAGGGUAAGAUAGGAUAAGAUAGGAAUUUGAGGGCCAAGAACUUGAGGAAUUUGGGGAAAAAUAAGGUGUAGAGAUGGAGGGAGAUUCCUGUGUCUAGGUUUAUUAGGUGGCUGAUUAGGGUUCGAGAGGGUGGUUGUGGUUGUUUAGUUACCAUGAUUUUUUAUAUUUUUCGGUGAACUUCAAUUCAGUUUAGGUGGUCGGCGGUUGUCAUUCUUGUUUGUGGUUUUGGGGCAAGGUACAGUCGGUGAGGGGCG